This 99-nucleotide transfer RNA is filed under the name Rhexocercosporidium sp. MPI-PUGE-AT-0058. Its description in RNAcentral is "tRNA-Phe". It matches the Rfam family "tRNA". Rfam says of the family: Transfer RNA (tRNA) molecules are approximately 80 nucleotides in length. The record is from RNAcentral. Lineage: Eukaryota; Fungi; Ascomycota; Leotiomycetes; Helotiales.
GCGGCUUUAGCUCACUUGGGAGAGCGCCAGACUGAAGUCAACUUCAGAUCACUAUCAACCGAUAUCUGGAGGCACUGUGUUCGAUCCACAGAAGCCGCA